Molecule: long non-coding RNA, 153 nt
Organism: Lampris incognitus (smalleye Pacific opah)
Lineage: Eukaryota; Metazoa; Chordata; Actinopteri; Lampriformes; Lampridae
Exons: 3
Source: RefSeq, a predicted model, not a curated record
CAUACAGCUUCUUUGUCUUAAUUUGUGACUGCAUAGAUGGUCUGAAGUUUCUGCCAACACAGAUCAUCUCAAAGACCUGCUGUAUCUGAGGGUCAGAAAUGGAUUAAUCUGGAUCUCGUCUUCUAAGGCCUGUCCUCACCAGCAAUACAUUCC